AGCUGCCUGGCGGGCGACCCAGCCCCAUCCUGAUGGCCCCAGGACACAAGCCCAGGAGCGCCCCGGUGCGCGCGGUGGCGCGGCCCAGGGGCGCCGGGUUUGGUGGCACAGCGAGCCCCCUUUCUCUCGCGAAACCUGUUUCCCUCAAACCUUGUGGUUGCAGCUUUCCGUACGUAUGCCACCGAUUAUAAAGUCAUGACCCACAACAGCAGCUCUGGAAAUGUAACCCAUGAAAAGAUCCCCAUAGGCACUGAGAUAGAAGGGAUGAACAUUUUAGGAUUGGUCCUGUUUGCUCUGGUGUUAGGAGUGGCCUUAAAGAAACUAGGCUCCGAAGGAGAAGACCUCAUCCGUUUCUUCAAUUCCCUCAAUGAGGCAACGAUGGUGCUGGUGUCCUGGAUUAUGUGCUCAGCGACCCUUCCCUCUAUGAUGAAGUGCAUUGAAGAGAACAAUGGUGUGGACAA
RNAcentral lists this small RNA (461 nucleotides) under Pongo abelii (Sumatran orangutan). RNAcentral's name for it is "processed transcript". Lineage: Eukaryota; Metazoa; Chordata; Mammalia; Primates; Hominidae. The record is from RNAcentral.